This 465-nucleotide ribosomal RNA is filed under the name Vreelandella stevensii. RNAcentral's name for it is "partial 16S ribosomal RNA". It matches the Rfam family "Bacterial small subunit ribosomal RNA", at positions 338 to 795 of the family's 1533-position model. The record is from RNAcentral. Lineage: Bacteria; Pseudomonadati; Pseudomonadota; Gammaproteobacteria; Oceanospirillales; Halomonadaceae.
CCUACGGGGUGCAGCAGUGGGGAAUAUUGGACAAUGGGCGAAAGCCUGAUCCAGCCAUGCCGCGUGUGUGAAGAAGGCCUUCGGGUUGUAAAGCACUUUCAGUGGGGAAGAAAGCCUUGGGGCUAAUACCCUCGAGGAAGGACAUCACCCACAGAAGAAGCACCGGCUAACUACGUGCCAGCAGCCGCGGUAAUACGGAGGGUGCGAGCGUUAAUCGGAAUUACUGGGCGUAAAGCGCGCGUAGGCGGUCUGAUAAGCCGGUUGUGAAAGCCCCGGGCUCAACCUGGGAACGGCAUCCGGAACUGUCAGGCUAGAGUGCAGGAGAGGAAGGUAGAAUUCCCGGUGUAGCGGUGAAAUGCGUAGAGAUCGGGAGGAAUACCAGUGGCGAAGGCGGCCUUCUGGACUGACACUGACGCUGAGGUGCGAAAGCGUGGGUAGCAAACAGGAUUAGAUACCCUGGUAGUC